UUGGAGGGCAAGUCUGGUGCCAGCAGCCGCGGUAAUUCCAGCUCCAAUAGCGUAUAUUAAAGUUGUUGCAGCUAAAAAGCUCGUAGUUGAAUUUCGGGGUCAAUAAGUUGGUCGUGCCAAUGGUAUGCACUGGCUUUAUUGAUUCCUACCUCUUGACGAACUGUGAUGCCAUUAAUUUGGUGCUGCAGGAAAUCAGGACUGUUACCUUGAAAAAAUUAGAGUGUUUAAAGCAGGCUUACGCUUGAAUACAUUAGGAUGGAAUAAUGAAAUAGGACGUUUGAACCUAUUUUGUUGGUUUCUAGGAUCGACGUAAUGAUUAAUAGGGAUAGUUGGGGGCAUUAGUAUUCAAUUGUCAGAGGUGAAAUUCUUGGAUUUAUUGAAGACUAACUACUGCGAAAGCAUUUGCCAAGGAUGUUUUCAUUAAUCAAGAACGAAAGUUAGGGGAUCGAAGACGAUCAGAUACCGUCGUAGUCUAACCAUAAACUAUGCCGACUAGGGAUCGGAUGAUGUUAAUUUUUUAAUGACUCAUUCGACGCCUUACGGGAAACCAAAGUGUUUGGGUUC
This 564-nucleotide ribosomal RNA is filed under the name uncultured Glomeromycotina. RNAcentral describes it as "SSU rRNA". It matches the Rfam family "Eukaryotic small subunit ribosomal RNA", at positions 548 to 1114 of the family's 1831-position model. The record is from RNAcentral. Lineage: Eukaryota; Fungi; Glomeromycota.